This 26-nucleotide non-coding RNA is filed under the name Mus musculus (house mouse). Lineage: Eukaryota; Metazoa; Chordata; Mammalia; Rodentia; Muridae. The record is from RNAcentral.
UGGCAGGGGGCCGGGGCGCUGGGUGA